Mobula hypostoma (lesser devil ray) is the source of this 109-nucleotide small nuclear RNA. NCBI's taxonomy places the organism in Eukaryota, Metazoa, Chordata, Chondrichthyes, Myliobatiformes, Myliobatidae. The record is from RefSeq and is a predicted model, not a curated record.
GUGUUCGCUUCAGCAGCACGUAUACUAAAAACUGGAACAAUACAGAGAAGUUUAGCAUGGCCCCUUCACAAGGAUUGACACGUGCAUUCGCGAAGCGUUCCAUAUUUUU